This 303-nucleotide ribosomal RNA is filed under the name Vibrio splendidus 1S-124. Its description in RNAcentral is "bacterial LSU rRNA". It matches the Rfam family "Bacterial large subunit ribosomal RNA", at positions 1221 to 1527 of the family's 2925-position model. Lineage: Bacteria; Pseudomonadati; Pseudomonadota; Gammaproteobacteria; Vibrionales; Vibrionaceae. The record is from RNAcentral.
AUGUGGGGUAGGGGAGCGUUCUGUAAGCCGUUGAAGGUGGUCUGUAAGGGCUGCUGGAGGUAUCAGAAGUGCGAAUGCUGACAUGAGUAACGAUAAAGGGAGUGAAAAACUCCCUCGCCGGAAGACCAAGGGUUCCUGUCCAACGUUAAUCGGGGCAGGGUAAGUCGACUCCUAAGGCGAGGCCGAAAGGCGUAGUCGAUGGGAAACGGGUUAAUAUUCCCGUACUUCUUACAAUUGCGAUGGGGGGACGGAGAAGGCUAGGUGGGCCUGGCGACGGUUGUCCAGGUUCAAGUAUGUAGGCGG